AGUGGGUCACUCCACUCAAAAGAGACCAUUAAGAGUGACGCGUUGGUGAGAGUAAUCUCACCAGGUUGGU
Molecule: non-coding RNA, 70 nt
Filed under: unclassified sequences
Source: RNAcentral